RNAcentral lists this long non-coding RNA (751 nucleotides) under Homo sapiens (human). RNAcentral's name for it is "HSALNT0324713". The record is from RNAcentral. Lineage: Eukaryota; Metazoa; Chordata; Mammalia; Primates; Hominidae.
ACUCGCCGGCGGCUCAGGCCGGGAGGGGCCAGGACAGUCCCGGCCGCGCGGUGGACGGAGGGGCCAUUCCUCCGGGCGUUAGCAAAUAAAUUCCAUCCGAGUCAAUAUCGCCCAGCGAACGGUGUUUCUCUUUAGUCACCCGAGAACGAGAGGCACUUUUAAUUAGAAAUUAAUUAAUGAGCAGCUGCUCCUUCCCGCCCCACUGUAAUCAUUCGUCUCAAUUACAAAUGAGACCUAUGAAAGGACACGCUGAAGAUGUAAUCAACAGUUAAAAUUAGCCCGGCGCUGCGCAGGCGGCCGGCCCGGCCUCGCGCUGGCGCGCUCUGCUCCGAGUGGCAGGAAGGGGCUCGCAGGCGCCCCGCACGCGUCUCGUCACUAUUGUUUAAUCGAGAAUCAGCAACGCCUCCCGCCGGUUUCCACCCUACGCCGGAAUGGACUUUCAGAACCCACUGCGGCCGCAAGACAGCCCGCAAGAGCUGGUCAAAAUGCCCUCAGAUGAAAAUACGAGUUCUCCGAUCGCGUUGGACCGGAGCGGGCCACGUCCGAGCUGCUUGCAGAGGGAAACCAUCGGAAAUAAUGAAUAGCCGCUCCAUGCAAAUUAUUCAGACAGUUUAGCGUCGGUAGCCGCGAGAAAUAUAUAAAGAACACGAGUCAAAUGACAUUAAUAAUUGUUUCUGAAUUCUGUAUUGAUUUCGCGGCAGGCCGCGUUUCUUUCUUUCUCACCUGAAUCGCUAAUAUCACCUUCCUGUAA